RNAcentral lists this ribosomal RNA (480 nucleotides) under uncultured bacterium. Its description in RNAcentral is "partial 16S ribosomal RNA". It matches the Rfam family "Bacterial small subunit ribosomal RNA", at positions 28 to 507 of the family's 1533-position model. The record is from RNAcentral.
GACGAACGCUGGCGGCGCGCCUAACACAUGCAAGUCGAGCGAUGAAAUUUUAACCGAUCUCUUCGGAGAGAAGAUAAAAUGGAUUAGCGGCUGACGGGUUAGUAACUCGUGAGAAACCUGCCUUUCACAAGGGGAUAGCCUCGGGAAACCGGGAUUAAUACCCUAUGUCACAUUUCCUUCGCUUGGAAGAAAUGUUAAAACUCCGUUGGUGAAAGAUGGUCUUGCGCCUGAUUAGUUAGUUGGCGGGGUAACGGCCCACCAAAGCCAGAAUCGGUAAACGGGAAGAGAGGGAGAACGGAGACAAUGGAACUGGGAAACAGUCGAAAAUACUACGGGAGGGAGCAGUGGGGAAUAUAGCAAAAUGGAGGAAAAGAAGAUGGAGCGACGACGGGAGAGCGAUGAAGGCUUGGGAGAAGUAAAGCACUGUAAUAUGGGAAGAUAAUGACGGUACCAAAGGAGGAAGCCCCGGCUAACUACGUG